CUAAGAAGAAUAAUGAUUAAGGAGUUUCUUGAGUUUUUUUGCUUUUGUUUUAUUUAUUUAUUUAUUUAUUUAUUUAUUUAUUUAUUUAUUUAUUUAUUUAUUUAUUUAUUUUGUAGUUGUAGAUGGACAGAAUGCCUUUAUUUUAUUUGUUUUUAUUUUUAUGUGGUGCUGAGGAUCAAAUGCAGUGCCUCACACAUGUUAGGCAAGCGCUCCACUGCUGAGCCCCAACCCCAGCCCAUGCUUUUGUUUUAUUUUUAAUCAUUCAAUGAAAUGUUCUUUUUUCCCUCAGUAUAUCCAUAAUGCCCAGCAAAAUUACUGAUAUAUAGUUAAUAAAUGUUUGUGGAAUUCAGCCCACCUACCUUAAAAAUUUAAGAAUAAGGAACAUUAGGUAUAACAAAAAAUGAACUUCAUUUUUCAUAUUAUAGCCAGUGCAGAGAAAGUGGAAAGGAGAAAGAAGGAUGGAGAGGAAAAAAGGAAACUGAGGACCUGAGAGAAUGAAACAAUCUGAGAGGAGAGUGAUGGCAAGAAUUUCCUACUGGUUUAGUCCUUGCUUCUGCUUCUACGUCUUGACAUGAAUUGUUUCCUUCUGCACUUGUUUAGGAGUCCCAGUCACUUUCUCUAAGAGCCAGCAUUAUAUGUAUAUCUUGGCAUAAUUAAGAUUUGGACUCUAGACCCAGACUGCUCAAGUUUAUUUAUUUUAUUUUUUGUGGUGCUGAAAAUUGAAUGCAGGGCCUUGCACUUGCUAGGUAAGCAAUGUAUUACUGAGCUACAUCCCAGCCCAGACUAUGCAAGUUUAAAUCUGGAUUCCGAUACUUUUUCCCCCCCUGUACUAGGGAUUGAACUCAUGGGGCACUCUGCCACUAAGCCACAUCCCCAGCCUCCCCUGCCCCUGCCUUUUUUUUUAAAACAUUUAUUCUUUAGUUUUAGGUGGACACAAUACCUUUAUUUAGUUUUUAUGUGGUGCUGAGGAUCGAACCCAGUGCCUCACGCAUGCUAGGCGAGCGCUUUUCGUCUGAGCCAACCCCAGCCCUCCCCAGCCCUUUUUGAGUUUUUAUUUUGAGAGAUGAUCUCACUAAGUUGCCCAGGCUGGCUUUGAAUUUGUGAUCCUCCUACCUCAGCCUCCUGAGUGACUGUGAUACAGGCAGGGGCCACUGUACCUCACUAGGUUCUGAUACUAAGUAGCUGACUUUGGAUAGAGUUCUGUGCUUUAGUAUUUUCAUCUAUAAGGAGAGAAUAAUAAAUAAAACCUUCUUUCAUGUAGUUGUAAAGAUUUAAAAAAUAAAUACAUAUCCAAAACUUACAAUACUGUAAAUUACCAGAAAAAUUAUAAUCAUUCAGUACAUUUUAGCUCUUACAUCUACUUAAUCCUUAUGCAGAACUUGCUAGUUCUGUCUUCCCUAAUAUCUCCUUUGUUAUCCUGACUUCUUUAACUACUGAGUCUCAUACUUUUGCUAUCACUAUCCUACCUCUUCUUUAUUACAAAAGUUCACCUUUGGGCACUCUGCCUAGAUCUGCUUACGCUUCCAUUUCUGAAUCUGAGUCAGUGGCAGAAGCAAAGAUAUCCUUGUGUAGGACAUAAAGUCCUCCAUCCCGCUUUUUUCUAGAUGAACAUGAAAUUGAGUUUAAACUUAAAUAACCAGAUACAGAGUACAGAUAAUUUAUAUAAUUGAUUUCUCCUUAAUCAAACUAAAAGGCUUGAGUCUAGACAGAUUUAAAAGACAUAUAUGGAAGACUUGGGGAUUUUUUUGGUUAGUUUAUCAAAAUGGAAUCACAUUAUGUAAUUACUCCAUAAUUUCUUUUUUUUACUUGAUAGUUUAUUAUGUUUCUUGUAAGUGUAUGUAUGUGUAAAUGUGUGUGUGUGUAUGUAUCUGAAUCUAUUUUUGAAUCUAAUGCACAUGCAAUUAAUACAAUAUACAAAGGACUUUUUUAAAAAAAUUUUUAAGUUCUGGUUGGACACAGUACUUUCAUUUUAUUUAUUUGUUUUUAUGUGGUGCUGAGGAUCGAACCCACGGCGCCUCACAUGUGCUAAGCGAACAUUCUGCAGCUGAGCCACAACUCCAGCCCAUAAAGGACAUUCUUUUAAGUACAGGUUUUUUUUUUUUUUUUUUUUUUGCUUGUUGCAUUCUUUACCCUUUAAGUUAUUGUAUUAACAUGUUCACAUUAGAAUAUAUACAUAUAUGCAGGGUAUAAUGGGCUACUUGCUUAACAAAAGUAGGAUCAAAUUUUAUACUAAUGUUCUGCAUUUUACUUUUCUCAUUAGAUACCUCAUGAAAAUUCCUCCAAGUCUUGGUAUAGCUCUAAUUUAUUCCUUUAAAAAAAUAAUUUUAUUGGGGCUGGGGGUGUGGCUCAAGUGGUAGCGCGCUCGUGUGGCAUGUGCAGGGCACUGGGUUUGAUCCUUAGCACCACAUAAAAAUAAAAAAUAAAAGAUGUUGUGUCCACCGAAAACUAAAAAAUAAAUAUUAAAAAAUUCUCUCUCUCUCUCUCUCUUAAAAAAAAAAUAGCUUUAUUGGGCUGAGAUUGUGGCUCAGUGGUAGGGCACUCGCCUAGCAUGUGUGGGGCCCUGGGUUCGAUCCUCAGCACCACAUAACAAUAAAUAAAUAAAAUAAAGAUAUUGUGUCCAACUACAACUAAAAGAUAUAAAAAAAAAGCUUUAUUGAGGUAUAAUUUACAUAGCAUAAAAUUUACCUAUUUUAAGUUUACAGUUAAAUGAGUUAUAAAUUUACAGUUUGGAAUCAUCAUCAUCAUAAUCCAGUUUAUAAUAUUCCAUCAUCUCCAAAAGUUAUUUUGUCUGUAGUUGGUCCCAUUCCCAUCUGCUGGCAACCAUUUCUAUUUUCCAGGUUUAUAGUUUUGCCUAUUCUAGGAAUUUGAUAUAAAUGAAAUUUUGCAGUAGUAUUAUUGUCUGACUUUUCUCAGUUAGCAUGUUUUUGAAGUUUAUUGAUGUUGUUGCAGAUAUCGGUAGUUCUUUUUAUUCCUGAGUAAUAUUCCAUUGUUUGGAUAUACCACUGUUGUUUAUCUAUUUGCCACUGAUAUAAGAUGAAUGGCUUUUAGGUUCUUAAAAUAAAAUCUUUCCCAGAAUACUAAAGUCUUUUGCUUGCUCUUUUUGGAACAAGUGAUUAGAACUGCCUUGAUUCUUGAGGAGGGAAAACUCUCUGAGCUCUAUUUUUUUUUAACCCUUAGGGAUACUUCCUUAUAAACUUAGGCUUGAAGGGAUAUAGUUUGAAAACCACCAAGCUAAAGUAUACUAUUGAAAUUUCAUAUACUAUAUUAAGAAAAUGAGUAUAUAAAUGCUAUUUCCAGAUGAGAUUAAUGAAGAAAAACUUAAACAGUGUUUGGGAACAAUUUUAUUUUUUAUACUACAGGGGAUUCAGCCUAGUGGUGCUCUACCUAUGAGUUAUAUCUUCAGCCCUUUAAUUUUUAUUUUGAGACAGGGUCUUGUUAAAUUGCCUAGGCUGGGCUUGAACUUGAGAUCCUCCUGUCUUACCUUUCUGAGGUGUUGGGAUUAUAGGUGCAUGCCAUCACACUCUGCUGGGAACACAUUUGUUUGUGUGUGUGUGUGUGUGUGUGUGUGUGUGUGUGAACCAGAAUUUGUGAUAGAUUAACUAUAUUUGCUAAGGGAAUGAUAAUAUUCCCCUUGUUUAAAAUUUGGCUUUUCUGCAAAGUUUCAUGCUUACCUGGUAGAAUGUUAUUUCAGAAGACUUAUUUUUACCCUUCUACCUUUAUAUAUAUAUAAUAUUUUUUAUUUUUUUAAAUCAGGCAAUUAUUAUAGUUUACGUUCUCAGCAUGAGAAAGCGGCCUUAUAUUUCCAGAGAGCCCUAAAGUUGAAUCCUCGGUAUCUUGGGGCCUGGACACUGAUGGGGCAUGAGUACAUGGAAAUGAAAAAUACAUCUGCUGCUAUCCAGGCUUAUCGGUGAGCAUCUAGUUGGGGGUUGAGGAUUGCUGUGUUAGGAGCCUCAGUUGAGCCUGCAAGUUUCAAGCCUUGAUUAUGCUUUCUUAACAUUCUUUCAUUUUCAUUUCUUAGACAUGCCAUUGAGGUCAAUAAGCGGGACUACAGAGCUUGGUAUGGCCUUGGGCAGACCUAUGAAAUCCUUAAGAUGCCAUUUUACUGCCUAUAUUACUACAGACGGGCCCACCAGCUUCGGUAAGUCUGGUCACUUUACAAUGUA
This 4163-nucleotide long non-coding RNA is filed under the name Marmota monax (woodchuck). The stretch from base 2519 to 2579 matches the Rfam family "tRNA", at positions 6 to 65 of the family's 71-position model. The record is from RNAcentral. Lineage: Eukaryota; Metazoa; Chordata; Mammalia; Rodentia; Sciuridae.